GGCCACUGCUAUCGGGGUCCGACUAAGCCAUGCGAGUCAUGGGGCUCCCUUCGGGGAGCACCGGCGCACGGCUCAGUAACACGUGGCUAACCUACCCUCGGGUGGGGGAUAACCUCGGGAAACUGAGGCUAAUCCCCCAUAGGGGAGGAGGUCUGGAAUGAUCCCUCCCCGAAAGGCCUUUGGCCGCCCGAGGAUGGGGCUGCGGCGGAUUAGGUAGUUGGUGGGGUAACGGCCCACCAAGCCUACGAUCCGUACGGGCCCUGAGAGGGGGAGCCCGGAGAUGGACACUGAGACACGGGUCCAGGCCCUACGGGGCGCAGCAGGCGCGAAACCUCCGCAAUGCGCGAAAGCGCGACGGGGGGACCCCGAGUGCCCACGCUCUGCGUGGGCUUUUCCGGAGUGUAAACAGCUCCGGGAAUAAGGGCUGGGCAAGUCCGGUGCCAGCAGCCGCGGUAAUACCGGCGGCCCGAGUGGUGGCCACUGUUAUUGGGCCUAAAGCGUCCGUAGCCGGCCCGGUAAGUCUCUGCUUAAAUCCUGCGGCUCAACCGCAGGGCUGGCAGAGAUACUGCCGGGCUUGGGACCGGGAGAGGCCGGGGGUACCCCAGGGGUAGCGGUGAAAUGCGUUGAUCCCUGGGGGACCACCUGUGGCGAAGGCGCCCGGCUGGAACGGGUCCGACGGUGAGGGACGAAGGCCGGGGGAGCAAACCGGAUUAGAUACCCGGGUAGUCCCGGCUGUAAACUCUGCGGACUAGGUGUCGCGUCGGCUUCGGGCCGACGCGGUGCCGAAGGGAAGCCGUUAAGUCCGCCGCCUGGGGAGUACGGUCGCAAGACUGAAACUUAAAGGAAUUGGCGGGGGAGCACUACAACGGGUGGAGCCUGCGGUUUAAUUGGAUUCAACGCCGGGCAUCUUACCAGGGGCGACGGCAGGAUGAAGGCCAGGUUGACGACCUUGCCAGACGCGCCGAGAGGUGGUGCAUGGCCGUCGUCAGCUCGUACCGUGAGGCGUCCUGUUAAGUCAGGUAACGAGCGAGACCCGUGCCCCAUGUUGCUACCCUCUCCUCCGGGAGAGGGGCACUCAUGGGGGACCGCCGGCGCUAAGCCGGAGGAAGGUGCGGGCAACGACAGGUCCGCAUGCCCCGAAUCCCCUGGGCUACACGCGGGCUACAAUGGCCGGGACAAUGGGACGCGACCCCGAAAGGGGGAGCGAAUCCCCUAAACCCGGUCGUAGUCCGGAUCGAGGGCUGUAACUCGCCCUCGUGAAGCCGGAAUCCGUAGUAAUCGCGCCUCACCAUGGCGCGGUGAAUGCGUCCCUGCUCCUUGCACACACCGCCCGUCACGCCACCCGAGUUGAGCCCAAGUGAGGCCCUGUCCGCAAGGGCAGGGUCGAACUUGGGUUCAGCAGCGGGGGUG
RNAcentral lists this ribosomal RNA (1410 nucleotides) under Methanocaldococcus sp. SMT4-70M. RNAcentral's name for it is "bacterial SSU rRNA". It matches the Rfam family "Archaeal small subunit ribosomal RNA". The record is from RNAcentral. Lineage: Archaea; Methanobacteriati; Methanobacteriota; Methanococci; Methanococcales; Methanocaldococcaceae.